UAUAAACUAGUUUAUUCAGUCCAUGGUUGUAUACAACAAAUAAUAAACAUCUCCUUGGUACAAAGCAGCAGGAAACAGCUCGCGUCGAACCGGGUCGGCUUUGUACAGAUCCGUAGCAGAGGCCGACAACAAGCAGAAACACAACAUCCCAAGAUCAUGCAACUCGUCAAGCCAUGAUUCCAUCUUCCUCCCAUGCAAUGGAUCGGAUGAACGAAAUGGGAACCGACGGGAAGGUUUUUGUUUCAUUUCAUAGAAAAAAAGAAGGACGAGGGCACCACUCAAACGUUCUCGCAGGCAGAGAGCACCGUUUUAAAGGAUUCCUUUAGGACUGGGCUGUAUCCCCUCUGCAUCCACCAACCAGGACUUCCCGGAAGUAGAAGGCUGGCAGUGGGCAUCAGCUGAGGUUCUGCCUCCUGGUAGUUCCACCCUAAGGGAAGUCUAUGGGCUAAAAUCCACGUUCUGUAUCCAGCCUGUAGUCCCAAAGGAUACAAUCACAUCCAUGCUUGACCCCCACUACUUCUGUUCUCACAUGCCAGUACUGUGACUGUCAGGAGGAAAGCGCAAAUGUCUACAUUGGCUGCUUGAAUGGCAGCAAUUCAUAACUGACAUCUAUUCCAAGCCUGCGUAACUCUUGUUACCUUCCAGCCAAUGGGGUGGACAAGAGUAUCGAGUCAAUCAUCAGCCACGGACUCAAUGGCUCUUCUAGAGUUGGGGUUACCAGUUUGGAUCUUCCCAGAGUAGACUUGCUAAAAUAAAUGGGACCAGUCAUACCUAACCAAAGCUAGGGGAACUCUUGGGACUACAACUCCCAUAACCCACAGACCUAACUGCCUGGGGAAUUCUGGGAGCUGUAGUCCAAAUAUAUAUAUAUAUAUAUAGGGUAACAUUUUCUAACUCGGUAAGUCAACGAAAUCCUAUUGAUGUCAGUGGGUCUACUCUAGGGACAGCAAAGUUUGUAUUUCUGCCAGGAUGAUCCCUCUCUGGCAUCCCAGGACCACCUCCUCUCUGUGGGAAGAUGUGGAGAAAAAAUGUCCCCUUUCUAUCAGCAGGCAUAUAUUCUUUAGGUACAUAUAUAUGUUGUGAUGCUUCCCUCCCAGAAAAAUAUAACAUAAGCUAAAGAAUGGUAUAUUUGUUUUUUCUUUUCUUUUCCUUUCUUUCUUUUUUUUUUUUUUACAAAUACGAUUUUUCCCCACUUAUAAAAAUGGUUAAGUUCCUUUAAUUCCACAGUUUUUGUCUUUAGAAAAAAGAAGCCGUGACAACAGGGUUGUUGUUAUUUUAAUACGAUACACAAAAUGUAGAUAUGAGAAAGGGAAAGAAGAGGGGAAUGAAAUUAAACGUCUACAUAUUAGAGAUGGUAUCAUGUCCUCUCCUUAUUAUUAUUAUUUAAAAAAAAAUCACAUUAUCUUCCACUGACAGGGGUUCAUUAUAACACCUUGGUUCCUACAGACAGGGGCUGGGGGGGGCAGCACAAUGACUUCCAACAGAACACUACAAAUCUAUUCAAAAACAGUAUAUAUUUUUCAGCACAUUUUCAAAUCACAAAAACAUCCUUUUCUGGAGCCUGCCGUGCGGACGUUCGGCUCCAAUCCUGAUCUUGCCCCCUCCUCAGUUUUAUUCCACUUUUAGCGUCCGUGAGACCCGUUGAGUUUAAAAAUAAAUAAAUCAAAAAGGUUGCUGCAUUCUAAAUUAAAGGAAUAACACAUGGAAGGCUUGCUUUCCUUAGGAAGCCCGUACAAAACGGCUGGCGGAGAAAAACGAAAAUCACCGAGUGUAUAUAUUUUGGUUGGUUCACCUUCCUAAGGCUAGAUAGAAAACACGGAGCGUACAAUUUCUCUCAGAAGAGGAAUAACAAACAAA
Pogona vitticeps (central bearded dragon) is the source of this 1857-nucleotide non-coding RNA. Lineage: Eukaryota; Metazoa; Chordata; Lepidosauria; Squamata; Agamidae. The record is from RefSeq and is a predicted model, not a curated record.